UUAAAACAAUUUUAAACAUCUAAAGUACCACUAUUUUCUGCCUGAGAAUGCUACAUUUAAAAUAGUAUUUGGUUCCAUUUUCUAGGGCCAGAUCAUAUUUUUCCCAUCACAAGUUCUGUAUAAGGCAUACCUUCACACAAAGCUUCCAGUAAAAGGCUGACUGGUGCUGCUCAUUUGUGACAAGAGUCAAAUGGAAGCUUACUCAAAUAUACACAAAGACUGCAUAGUUAAAAAACUAGAAAUUGAUUCUAAACAUUCAAACCAAUUUAUAGAAUUCUAGAAAGAGGGAUAAGGUAAGGAGAAGGUGACAGAUGGGUAUCAACAUAGAGGCAGGAAGGAUGGCAAAAACAAAGAGGAACAGACUAGAAGUAAAAUAAUUGUAAAAGGUAUAAUGAACAUAAUUUUAAAACUUGGCAAAGACAAUAUGUUUUGAAAUCUUAAUUUGCCAUCAGCAUUUACUAUCAGGAGAUUUAAAAUCUUGCUUUCUGACUCAUUUGGUAAAAGAAACCCUUUUGAUUGUUUACAGCAGACUUGUCUGUGAAUACUGGCCAUUUACACAUUGCCUGCUAAGCUACUUUACUCCUGUUCAUCUGCAUUGUCCCUGAAGACAUUUAAUUUUGUGAUCUCUGAUGGAACUGUACUUUUUUGUUAUGCCCAAGGGACACACUAGCCUUCUCCAUAAGAGAAGGCACAUUCCCAGAACUUAUUCUGUAACUGUAGCAUAUGUGUGACUUGGUGUAAAUGACUAUUUUAUAAAGUUUCAGAAUCCACAGCAGAAAUUCUACAGGCCCUAUAGUGGUCAGACAUGAUACAUUACAUGAAGUUCAUUGUGACCCUGUUGUAGAGUGAAGCUUCAUUAGUUGUAUGACCACCAGAUGUAUGCUAACUCACAUCUGUCUUCAACACUGCUUGUUAAUCGUUGCUCUAACAAUAGAAAAAUUGAGGCAGUAUGUAAAAUCAUUGUUAACAAGAUAAUUGCUAGUGUUAUGAAAUCAUGCUUUGAUGAUAUAAAAAAAUCACCCAGAGGCUUGUUCAUUCUCUAUUUACUAAACAGAUUCCUACAACACAUUUAUUCAAAGCUCAUUAGGUACAAAAAGAAAUCAGGAGAAUACAGAAUAUAGAUUCUGCUCUCAAUAUUGUUAAUAUUGCUCUCAGAUAUUGUUAAUAAGAGAUCAAAAUGUGCAGUACAAAUAACUUAUAAGCCAAAACUGAUUAGAUAUUAAAUAUGCAAAUAAAUCAUACAUUCUCAAAUGUCAAUGUGUACAAAAAUUUUCAUGAGGAGUUGUAAGAAUUGAAAUGUUCUCCUUGACUAUGAUUUGGUAGUUUCAGAAAAUAUCUCUGUCACCAAAGAUGGAUUGCCUGCAACUGGAUAAUGAGUAGAGUGUACCUCUUAGCAUAGUUUCAAGGAUUCCAAAAAGCAACAGCAUUUGUGUCAAACCUUGAUUUGGAAAGCACCUGGACUUCUCCAGAGCAUGAGGGUCAUGUGAGAGAAAAGAGAAGUAAUAUCAGAGACAUAAACCUAGAGAAGGUGCCAUACAACUGAUACAACCCACUGCCUGGUGGUUCUCUAUUGUGUACUUGGUUCAGUAAGAACUUGUACUUUAGCACAUAACCUCAUAAUGUGGUAUGAAGUCUGUAUUUUACCACAUAGUGACCUUUACACAGUUGGUAGGUAACUCUAAUUACAGGCUUCAUUGGAAUAAAGACUGUAUAUUGAACAAAACUAAAUUAAAUUUACACAUGAGCUAAUUCAGUAUCAUGAGCCUCAAAGGAAAUGUUUCUAUGUCUACAGUUGUCUGGUACUUGUAUGUCAUUACAAUGCUUGAUAUUUCUUACAUGAUAUAAUAUAGAGACACUUGUUGACUUUGCACAAGAUUGUUUAUUUGUUUACUUCAGAGUUAUACUACACAGACCAAGAUGGCUUGGAUUUGAGACACUCCAGCAUCAGCUUACAGUGUUUUAGAAUUCCUGGAAGGUCCCACCAUUCCUGUCAAUUUUUAGUGUUUCCUGGUGAGCAACCACCUCAAGUAUCUUUUCCAUGGUGUAAAUGCAAAGAGAAGCAUAAUGCACUUCAUAUGCUGUGGAAUUUAGUUUUGCAGCUCAGCAGACAAAAGGCUCUCCUGGUAUUUCUUCUACAGAACAACGCUUUUAUACCACACAAUAGCUUACAGAUAAAAGGUGUUAUUGCAGAAACAAUAUGUUUGUUUUAAAUGUGAAGUAGAAAUGUAAAGGGAAUGAAAUUAUGAGAAGCGGAGCUAGACCUUUGACAAUCACAUAUUACUCUGUGCCACCAGUUUCCCAGACAAAGACCAGCAAAAUGAGAAUGAACAAGAAAAAUGAUGAGGAAUGAUGUGAGGCCAGAGUAGCACAAAAAAUGAAAUAUUUCUUAGGCUCUUACAGAGAUAACAAGUAGUAUUGCUACCUAGAAAAGCAGAGAGCUGCAGGCACAUACCUAAGUGUAUCUAUCAUAUGGAGGAUGCUGUUUAUCAAAGUCAAUGAUUUAAAUGCAUUCAGCAGUAAUUACAAAGUCUAAGUGGUUUAAUAGCAAUUAUAUCAUUUGUCUUUAUAAAUAUAUAAGAUCAAAUUUGUGGUUUUUCUACAUAAAUGCACAAAUGAUUAUGUUAGGCCUUUACUCUCCUAUUAAUAGUUUCACUGCCAAGACCUCAGCCAGUAAAAGCCUCAUUGUGUCUGAGAUCACCUCCUCAGCCACUCUGUACACUAAGUAGUUAUUUGUGAGAGCUCUUUCAAACAAGUUGAGCAUACAAAUUAUCAAAUAUCACUUGAAAAAAGGGUUUGGCCCAUUUUAGGGUGUUAGAAUUGAGUGCCCAUCUAUAUGAGUUUAAGUACAAUCGAUUAACACAGGCAAUGAAAGCAUAUUUCUUCAACUGGUAUCCUCAGCAAUGUUAAUAGAGAUCACAUAGACAAGCCAAAUACCAAAACAAGAGAACAGUAUGCUUUCCUGUAUUCCUAACUUGUAAUGACACUAUACCCUGGAGAGGAAUUAAGGGGAUACAGAUGAUCAGCCUUCACUUUACGUGGAAGAUUAAGCAAAUGUGAGAUUUAAAUUUUUCUGUGUACUAUAAAUGAUAAAAAUCUCUUUGUCUUAGCUUCUAAGAGUAAUUAUUUGGGACUAUUUUGCUUUAAACUAGAUUACCCAAUGAAAGACAGUGCUCUCAGAUAAAAUUUCUCAGGUCUUAAUACUUGUUGAGAAAUAGGAUACAACAUGAUUCUAUUUUUAUCGUGAGCCAUCAGAUCAUAACUCCUGAGUGUGAAAACAGUUUCUCAGUACAUACAGCAUUCUCAGAUCAAGCAUGUGACUGUCCCAUAGAAAUGCUUCGUCUCUCCAGAUGACAGCUGAUUGUCUGACAAUUUAAUUUAAUCCCGACACUACCUGGAGUUCCUCUUAAAUUCCAAGAGUUAACAAGCUCCCUUCCAAAAGAUAGCCCCCAAAGAUAGCCUGGCCUUCCUAAACAUCUGAUAACUGACUUUAAAUUGGGGGUUUCAUUUUCCUCAGUUCAAUAUUCUUCUUCUGUAGCUCAUAGACCCCAGACACAUUUUAUUUACUUAUUUCAUGUGUAGGAUUGUAUAAUUCCAGCUGUACUGAAAGGGUUUUACCAUAGAAAAAAGUAUGGGAGAGGUGGUUAGGAAAAGAUUUGAGCCAAGGACACAUCACUUCCAUGUUGUUCCUGGCUGUGCACCAACCUGGCAGUUUAUCAAACCUGGUUCAAUAAUUUUUAUAGAAACAAAUCUUUAAAAAAGAAGAAAUCAAUCUUCAUCUUCUACCUUCUGUCUCCUGUAUUAAUCUUCUAAUCCCUGAGUCUUUCUUGAUAGUAGCCUCAUUUUGAAGCUAUCCUGCCCUAACCUUUUCCUCCAUAGUAUAAACUCAAAUUUACAAAGGGUAUUUUUAUAUUUCAACCUAAUAAUACCAUGAGUGACUAGGGUGAUAGGGUGAUUACAUGGGCAUUCCUAUCAGGAAUUAUCCUGGGUGAGUUAUCUGAGUUGGGAAGACAGUCCCACUGUAGAUUACACUUUUCCCUGUGCUGAGGUUCUGAACUGUACAAACAUGGGAAAGUUAGCUUAGCAAAAGGAUUUAGCACUCUCACGCUUCCUGAUAGUGGAUGCAAUAUUGUUGGCAGCUUCAGGCUCUUGCUUCUUUGACUGUGCUGCUGUGAUGGACUAUGCCUUUAUACUAGGAGUCAAAACAAAUGCUUAAUCCCUUAAAUUGUUUUGUAUUGUUAUUUUAUCACCUCAACAGAGAAAGCAACUAAGACAAGUUUGAUCCAAAAGUGCUCCAGCAAUUCCAAGAACUUUAGGAAGCAUCUUUCGGGAACCUAGAGCAAAGGUGUUGAACAUUCUGAGGCCAGGAACUGUUUCUGAAACAUCGACAGGAAUCUUACAUGCCCUCCAGCCCAAUCAGCUUCACUCCUGCCAACAGGUAAGUGUUCCCAUGGGGUGGCAACACAGAUUGGCACAUUAAGUUAGGGCAGGACCAAGCGACUCCUUACCCCCACCUCGCCGUGACAAGUCUGAGUAUGGUAUCCUGUCACAGGGAGUGAGCUCUAAUAAGAUUAUUCAUGCACAAGGGAUAGAUGCUUUCCUACUGCCAGGGACACAUCAAAUAGCCCAAGCUUCAUAACUCUCUCCCACAAUUGAAAGGCCUAGUUCAGUCCCAUGGAGGCUCCACAGCUGUUGGUCUAGAAUUCAUGAGUUCCCAUGAGCUUGGUUCAGCUGUCUCUGUAGAUUUUUCCAUCGUGACCAUGACUUCCCUUGCUCAUGUAUUCCCUCCUCUCUCUUUUCAACUCCAUUCCCGGAGCUCUGCCUGGUGAUUGGUUGUGGAUCUCUGCAGAUGGUUCCAUCUUUUACUGAAUGAAGGUUCUAUGAUAAUAGCUGUGGUAUUCACCAGUCUGAUUACAGGGGAAGGCCAGUUAGGACAUCCUAUCCACUCUUGCUAAGAGACUUAGCUGGGGUCAUCCUUAUGAAUUCUUGGGGGAUUCCCUAGCACCAGGUUUCUCCCUCAUCCUUUAGUGGCUCUCACUAUCAAGGUAUUUAUUUCCUUACUUCCCUCCCCAUUUCGUUCCCC
RNAcentral lists this long non-coding RNA (5080 nucleotides) under Cricetulus griseus (Chinese hamster). Its description in RNAcentral is "lncRNA (ENSCGRG00015036243.1)". Lineage: Eukaryota; Metazoa; Chordata; Mammalia; Rodentia; Cricetidae. The record is from RNAcentral.